UGGGGGAUAUUGCACAAUGGAGGAAACUCUGAUGCAGCAAUGCCGCGUGAGGGAAGAAGAUUUUCGGAUUGUAAACCUCUGUCCCAGCCGAAGAAACGAAUGACGGUAGGCUGGGAGGAAGCUCCGGCUAACUACGUGCCAGCAGCCGCGGUAAUACGUAGGGGGCGAGCGUUAUCCGGAAUUACUGGGUGUAAAGGGUGUGUAGGCGGCUAGGCAAGUCAGGCGUGAAAUGUACAGGCUUAACCUGUGAACUGCGUUUGAAACUGCAUAGCUUGAGUAGAGUAGAGGGGGGUAGAAUUCCAGGUGUAGCGGUGAAAUGCGUAGAGAUCUGGAGGAAUACCGGUGGCGAAGGCGGCCCCCUGGACGAAGACUGACGCUCAGGUGCGAAAGCGUGGGGAGCAAACAGG
Molecule: ribosomal RNA, 407 nt
Filed under: uncultured bacterium
Lineage: Bacteria
Description: bacterial SSU rRNA
Rfam family: Bacterial small subunit ribosomal RNA
Source: RNAcentral